AGUUUGGAGUUCCAUGAAUAAUGCUGCAAUGAAUAUUCUUGGACAUGCCUCUUGGUAAAUUUUGAAAAAGCAGUCCAUUUCUUGAUGAAUUAUACUUAAAGGAAUGCGGGUGGCCUGAGAGAGAUUGAGCUGAGGAGGCUUGAGUGAACCAAAUAAGCCCCUGUAAGCAGUCUUCAGGUUUACAAAUUGGACUAUGUCAGAUGCCUCAUGUAAGUGGAAUCAUGCAGGACUUACAUGCCCUAUGGCUCCUCUGUUUUUCCAAGGAAAGGUAAUAAUGAAGCAAAGGGGAGGAGAACAUUUUGGUUAAACUUAAGGUGAGGAUCCUUAUCCAGGCAUUUAAUAUCACUGAUAGAAAAUAAUAUUGUAUCUCUAGUUCCUUUAGUGCUUACAACAUGCCACCAUAUAAUUUCAUUUUUAUGACUUCCUAUGAGAUGGGGCAGGAAUUAUUAUCUACGUAUCACAGAGGAAGUGAUGCUCAGAGGUGGCUUGCUCCAGAACACAUAACUAGUAAGUUACACAUAGGCCCCAGGUCUUUUGAUUCAAACUAGAAAUGUAAGAAACAAACUAACAGUAAAAGCAAGGAAAUAAAUAAUCACUAUCAGUAAUUUAUAAAUAUCAAUGAUUGGGAUAAAAAAUGUGGACUUCAAUGUUUCUGUCUUCAAGCAAGACAAAAUUUUCAUAUAAAACAGUGAAAUAUUGUGAAGUAAAGAAGUAAAAAUUAAUUUAUCUUAUGGGUCGUUAACUAUGCCUUAAUAACAUUAUGAUGUUGACUUGGGAGAAUAGUUAGAAAUUAUCUACAUCUGAAGAUAGCCGAAAUUGUAGCUGAUCAUGGAAUGAGCCAGAAUUUACCAACAUUGCAAAAAUACAGAUGCCUUCCCAAGGUCCUGUAAAUAAUGAAAAAAAGU
Manis javanica (Malayan pangolin) is the source of this 905-nucleotide non-coding RNA. The record is from RefSeq and is a predicted model, not a curated record. NCBI's taxonomy places the organism in Eukaryota, Metazoa, Chordata, Mammalia, Pholidota, Manidae.